AAUCAACGCUGGCGGCGUGCCUCAGACAUGCAAGUCGAACGCGAAAGUCCCCUUCGGGGGAUGAUUAGAGUGGCGCACGGGUGAGUAACACGUAGGUAAUCUACCUUCGAGUGGGGAAUAACUCAGGGAAACUUGAGCUAAUACCGCAUAAUGCAGCGGCACCACAUGGUGACAGUUGUUAAAGCAUUUAUGCGCUUGAAGAGGAGCCUGCGGCGGAUAGCUAGUUGGUAAGGUAAUGGCUUACCAAGGCUACGAUCUGUAACCGGCCUGAGAGGGCGGACGGUCACACUGACACUGAAUAACGGGUCAGACUCCUACGGGAGGCAGC
This 328-nucleotide ribosomal RNA is filed under the name uncultured bacterium. RNAcentral describes it as "bacterial SSU rRNA". It matches the Rfam family "Bacterial small subunit ribosomal RNA", at positions 32 to 352 of the family's 1533-position model. The record is from RNAcentral.